RNAcentral lists this ribosomal RNA (800 nucleotides) under Escherichia coli. Its description in RNAcentral is "partial 23S ribosomal RNA". It matches the Rfam family "Bacterial large subunit ribosomal RNA", at positions 450 to 1251 of the family's 2925-position model. Lineage: Bacteria; Pseudomonadati; Pseudomonadota; Gammaproteobacteria; Enterobacterales; Enterobacteriaceae. The record is from RNAcentral.
GGACCAUCCUCCAAGGCUAAAUACUCCUGACUGACCGAUAGUGAACCAGUACCGUGAGGGAAAGGCGAAAAGAACCCCGGCGAGGGGAGUGAAAAAGAACCUGAAACCGUGUACGUACAAGCAGUGGGAGCCUCUUAAUGGGGUGACUGCGUACCUUUUGUAUAAUGGGUCAGCGACUUAUAUUCUGUAGCAAGGUUAACCGAAUAGGGGAGCCGAAGGGAAACCGAGUCUUAACUGGGCGUUAAGUUGCAGGGUAUAGACCCGAAACCCGGUGAUCUAGCCAUGGGCAGGUUGAAGGUUGGGUAACACUAACUGGAGGACCGAACCGACUAAUGUUGAAAAAUUAGCGGAUGACUUGUGGCUGGGGGUGAAAGGCCAAUCAAACCGGGAGAUAGCUGGUUCUCCCCGAAAGCUAUUUAGGUAGCGCCUCGUGAAUUCAUCUCCGGGGGUAGAGCACUGUUUCGGCAAGGGGGUCAUCCCGACUUACCAACCCGAUGCAAACUGCGAAUACCGGAGAAUGUUAUCACGGGAGACACACGGCGGGUGCUAACGUCCGUCGUGAAGAGGGAAACAACCCAUACCGCCAGCUAAGGUCCCAAAGUCAUGGUUAAGUGGGAAACGAUGUGGGAAGGCCCAGACAGCCAGGAUGUUGGCUUAGAAGCAGCCAUCAUUUAAAGAAAGCGUAAUAGCUCACUGGUCGAGUCGGCCUGCGCGGAAGAUGUAACGGGGCUAAACCAUGCACCGAAGCUGCGGCAGCGACGCUUAUGCGUUGUUGGGUAGGGGAGCGUUCUGUAAGCCUG